UGGGGAAUUUUGGACAAUGGGCGCAAGCCUGAUCCAGCCAUGCCGCGUGCAGGAUGAAGGCCUUCGGGUUGUAAACUGCUUUUGUACGGAACGAAAAGACUCUGGUUAAUACCUGGGGUCCAUGACGGUACCGUAAGAAUAAGCACCGGCUAACUACGUGCCAGCAGCCGCGGUAAUACGUAGGGUGCGAGCGUUAAUCGGAAUUACUGGGCGUAAAGCGUGCGCAGGCGGUUCUAUAAGACAGAUGUGAAAUCCCCGGGCUCAACCUGGGAAUGGCAUUUGUGACUGUAGAGCUAGAGUACGGUAGAGGGGGAUGGAAUUCCGCGUGUAGCAGUGAAAUGCGUAGAUAUGCGGAGGAACACCGAUGGCGAAGGCAAUCCCCUGGACCUGUACUGACGCUCAUGCACGAAAGCGUGGGGAGCAAACAGGAUUAGAUACCCACGUAGUCCCUGAGCGGGCUGGCAAGGCGCAU
Molecule: ribosomal RNA, 472 nt
Filed under: uncultured bacterium
Lineage: Bacteria
Description: bacterial SSU rRNA
Rfam family: Bacterial small subunit ribosomal RNA
Source: RNAcentral